RNAcentral lists this ribosomal RNA (449 nucleotides) under uncultured bacterium. RNAcentral's name for it is "partial 16S ribosomal RNA". It matches the Rfam family "Bacterial small subunit ribosomal RNA", at positions 29 to 523 of the family's 1533-position model. The record is from RNAcentral.
AACGAACGCUGGCGGCAUGCCUAACACAUGCAAGUCGAACGAGACCUUCGGGUCUAGUGGCGCACGGGUGCGUAACGCGUGGGAAUCUGCCCUCUGGUACGGAAUAACUCAGGGAAACUUGAGCUAAUACCGUAUAAUGACUUCGGUCCAAAGAUUUAUCGCCUGAGGAUGAGCCCGCGUCGGAUUAGCUAGUUGGUGAGGUAAAGGCUAAACAAGGCGACGAUCCGUAGCUGGUCUAAGAGGAUGAUCAGCCACAAUGGGACUGAGACACGGUGCAGACUCCUACGGGAGGCAGCAGUGGGGAAUAUUGGAAAAUGAGCGAAAGCCUGAUCCAGCAAUGCCGCGUGAGUGAUGAAGGUCUUAGGGUUGUAAAUCUCUUUUACCCGGGAUGAUAAUGACAGUACCGGGAGAAUAAGCCCCGGCUAACUCCGUGCCAGCAGCCGCAGUAA